UAGCCUUUAAGUCUUUACCGGUUGAGACAUAAACUGAAACAAUCAAUCAAUCAGGUCUAAAAAUAGAAAGCGGCUUGGUGUUUGGUGUUUGGGAUGGACGUAAAGACUAAAGUACUAAAGAGGAUUAAUAAAUAUAACGGGAUCUUAUCGGGAGAUGCUUGGUGGUGCUUGCUCCUGUUCGUCGCGUAUGGAUGAUCAGACAGUCCAAGGUUGCGGUAUGUCAAAGGAUGAACUAUGUACAUGUGCGUUAGGGGGGGGGGGGAAGAGGGACAUGUGACGUGGGAGGAGCAUGAGGACAUUAGGGACCAGUGAAGUUUUUAUAUGAAGCCAGACUAUGAGAGAGUUAAGCUUGUGUUGUUGUUAGAAUUAUUUUUAUGAGUUGGUGUAAUUUUGUUGUCUCGUUUUUAUUUUUUGUGUUAAAUAACUCAUUGAUUUUUUGAUGUAUUUGGUCGUUUAUAAAAGUGAGGUUUAAGAAGCUUUUUUCGAUCGGCAUUAAAUAGUUUGCAUUCUAGUAAGUAAUGGAAUUCAUCCCCAAUUUUGUUACAGGUUGUACAGGUCCUUAAAUCUAUAGGUUUACUGUUCCAAUUUCCAACUUCAAUCGGUAGCCUGUGGUUUCUUGUCCUGAUUCUGAUUACAAAUUUUAGAAAUGCAUGUGGUGUGUUUACUAAAUAUGAUUCAAACCUGAAGUUUCUUUUAAUCCGUUUAUAGAAAGUACUAUUACUACAGUUUUCAAUUGAUGAUAACCAUUCAUUUAUAAACAGGUCUUUAAGUUUUUGCUUAACAAGUAUUUUAAGCCAGUCAGUGCUAGGAUAACUUUGUGAGCUCCACACAUGCAUUAUUCCACAUGUUAUUAAAAUUGAUUUGACAUUGCAAAACCAAGGAUAAAGGCGUGUAAGUGACUGAUCGUCAAGAUGUUUGCAUGUAUUGAGCAUUGACAUAUAAAUUGUUGUGGAUA
Long non-coding RNA from Dreissena polymorpha, 955 nucleotides. RefSeq lists it as uncharacterized. The transcript is spliced from 3 exons. The record is from RefSeq and is a predicted model, not a curated record. Lineage: Eukaryota; Metazoa; Mollusca; Bivalvia; Myida; Dreissenidae.